Molecule: long non-coding RNA, 2067 nt
Filed under: Pan troglodytes (chimpanzee)
Lineage: Eukaryota; Metazoa; Chordata; Mammalia; Primates; Hominidae
Description: long non-coding RNA NONPTRT005484
Source: RNAcentral
CUCAGAAUGCUUUCUUUAGCUCCUGAGUCUCCUUAGGUCUCCACUGGGGUUGUGUGUAAAAAUACCAAGCCCUCCCUGACAAUGCAUCUCAUUCUCUUCUGCUUGAAUUAUCCUGAUAAUCAGAGAUCACCCACUUCUUUGACAGUGUAGACUAGGAUUUUAAAAAUUGGGAGAGAAUUAUUGGACAGUGUGGCACUUCACCAGCUUCCCUCAAGGUUCUGGAUCUACGCUAAAGAGGGGUGGAAAUGCUUCUGGGGUGUCCAGAAGGGCUGCAGAAAUUCCUCGUCACUGGUCAUGGGGAGAGCAGGACUGGCUUGCCUCUGUGGCCUCUUCUGCCUCUGGAGGUGACAAUUCCUGAUUUGAGGCACUAGGGUGGAAGACUCAGGACUAUCCAGGACCAGGUUAAUAAACCGGCAGUCCAGAUUCCAGAAGGGCAGCAGCUGGGGGCUGGGGACAUGCCCAUGCCUGUGGGACAGAGUUCUUUUGCAUGCUUUGGCCUUUACGACUCUGUAUCCUUGACAAGUCACAGGCAUCUCUGGGUGAAAUGGGGACAAUAGUACCCAUACCUCCAAGGGUUAUGUGAGAAUUAAGUAAAAUAUGCAAAUAAAGUGCCUGGCAUACAGUAGGCACUGAGCAAAGGCUGGGGCAAGGGAUGCAUAUAAAUGUCUGGAUCUGAAGUUUGAAAUUCCACCUGCUGGAGACAGUGAACACCCCAGUAGAUACCCCAAAUCACACAGAAGGACGGAUGACCAGCUGCCUUCUUCCCCCAGGGCAUGCCAUACACACUGGGCCUGAAGUGGGAGAAUCGGGACCCCAAAAAAACGGCUUGUGGAGCGGGGUUGCACAUGGGUGUAAAGUUCCCAGCUUGGCUGCCUGGGGAGGGGGAGCAUGUAAAUGUCUUUAGAGAUUUGAAGGGACCAGGAUCUGGACUGACUUGCGUUGCUCAGGGGGCUGGGGCUGGGAGCCAAGGGGGUGCUGCCGGGAGGCCCAGGUUAGCUUGGGGUAUGGCAUUUCUAACAGUUGGCGCCUGCGGAAAAUGGCCUGGGGUUCCAGCUCUGGAAGGUUCCGAAUCUCAGUAUUCACGAGCGGCGCUGUCCGGAGCAGCCAGGGUUGUCCCUUGGUGGUCUCGGGCAGGUUCUCCGCGAUGCGCUUGCUGGGUCGCAGGUGAGAACCUCACGGUUCUCCAUUUCCGGAGCUCCAGCUCUGAGCAGGCAGAGGGUCGCUCCCCUCGCCUGCCCCUGCGGUAGCCAAGCAGGUGGCUGGAAGCGUGGCUAGCUGGCAGGUAAGGAGCUCCAGGUGAGACGGAACACGACCCCCAACCCCCUUAGCCGGUGCCCCACCCGAUUUCUCUCCUGCGUCCUGGGAGGGCAUGGUUGAGGCGCCACCGGUGCCCAGCAACCUCCCCAGGCUGUGGUUGUGACCUGAGGACGCGUGUGUCCCCGCCCCCAGGCCACCGCUACGCGACCCUGAGUGCACCUUCAAGAAGGCCGGGCACGUUUCUGGGCGGGCGUGGGGGGUGCCUGAUAUCUCCGCUCUAUUUUACAGUUACUCCCCUGCUGGUGCCUCCCUCCUUGGCGCGCUUCCCACCUGCGAUCGGCGCCCUCUUCGCAGUCACGAACUCGCCAGCAGCUAGCAGCACUGACUAGUAGGAGGGCCCGCCGGAGGAGAGGACAUACUCUGGAGUCAGAAGACAGCGAAAAGAGAAGCAGAAGCCCCGGUGGCAAGAGUCUGAAGGAAGGAUGACUGUAGCCUGUGGAUUGUACUGCAGUAGGAAACUGUCCUAGCAAGGCUCCACCUUGCCCCAGCUUCAAGCUGGAAAGGAGGAGAACAUGAAACAUUGCUUGAAGACAAUGGCCGAGACAGCAGGUCCCACCCUGCACAGCCAACAGCAUCUCUCCCCUCAGCCCUGUCUCCUCUUCUGCAGUUGGGAUCUGCACAUUUAAGCCUGAAGUAAGAAUAAAACAAACCCCCAAACCACCCUAUUAAAAAAUGUGCCUGGCCUUGGACAUGCAGAGGUAGCUAUAAACUGUUGAAGGUGGGAGAAGGUCAACAAAAUGAAGGUUUGAG